This 253-nucleotide ribosomal RNA is filed under the name uncultured bacterium. RNAcentral describes it as "partial 16S ribosomal RNA". It matches the Rfam family "Bacterial small subunit ribosomal RNA", at positions 524 to 776 of the family's 1533-position model. The record is from RNAcentral.
UACGUAGGGGGCUAGCGUUGUCCGGAUUUAUUGGGCGUAAAGAGCGUGUAGGCGGCCAGGUAGGUCUGGUGUGAAAACUCGAGGCUUAACCUUGAGAUGUCAUCGGAAACCAUUUGGCUAGAGUCCGGAAGAGGAAAGUGGGAUUCCUGGUGUAGCGGUGAAAUGCGCAGAUAUCAGGAAGAACACCAAUGGCGAAAGCAGCUUUCUGGGACGGUACUGACGCUGAGACGCGAAAGCGUGGGGAGCGAACCGG